This is a long non-coding RNA of Macaca mulatta (Rhesus monkey), 637 nucleotides long. RefSeq lists it as uncharacterized. The record is from RefSeq and is a predicted model, not a curated record. NCBI's taxonomy places the organism in Eukaryota, Metazoa, Chordata, Mammalia, Primates, Cercopithecidae.
CACUGACAGCUUGCACCGUGCACCUGGAAAAGCUGCAGACCUCAAUGCUAGCCCAUGAAAGCAGCCAGGAGGGGGGCUAUACCCUGCAAAGCCACAGGGUGGAGAUGCCCAAGGCCACUGAAGCUCACCUCUUGUAUCAGUGUGACCUGGAUGUGAGACAUGAAGUCAAAGGCUCAUAGACAGAAAGGACUUGCCUUGUCUUGGAUGAGACUUUGAACUGUGGACUUUUGAGUUAAUGCUGAAAUGAGUUGAGACUCUGGAGACUGUUGGUAAAGCAUGAUAGAUUAUGAAAUGUGAAGAUACGAGAUUUGGGAGGGGCGAGAGACAGAAUGAUAUGGUUUGGCUGUGUCCCCACCCAAAUUUCAUCUGGAAUUCCCACAUGUUGUAGGAGGGACCCUGUAGGAGGUAAUUGAAUCAUGGGGGCAAGUAUUUCCCAUGCUGUUCUCUUGAUAACGAAUAAGUCUCAUGAGAUCCGAUAGUUUUUAAAGAGAAGUUCCCUUGCACACAUUUUUUUGUUUCGCCUGCCGCCCUCCACGUAAGAUGUGACUUGUUCCUCCUUGCAUUUUGCCAUGAUCGUGAGGUCUUCCCAGCCAUGUGGAACUGUAAGUCCAAUUAAACCUUUUUCUUUUGUAAAUUG